RNAcentral lists this long non-coding RNA (1492 nucleotides) under Betta splendens (Siamese fighting fish). Its description in RNAcentral is "lncRNA (ENSBSLG00000002817.1)". Lineage: Eukaryota; Metazoa; Chordata; Actinopteri; Anabantiformes; Osphronemidae. The record is from RNAcentral.
AAGGGAUGAGGUCGGGCUGAUGGGGUCGGCCCCGCUCUGCUCGUGUAGGGGUGGUGGACUGGGGACGGGCCCCACUCUGGGCGCGGGGGCAUCUCCUGGCGGGCUCCCUACAGACCGUGGGUCCUCGGGCUCCACUCUUUGAGGGCCGACCCUCCCACCGGGGGGAGUGUUUGCCCCUGGUUUCUCAUGGGGCGGACAGCUGUUGACCCCGGUGGGGCCCACUCUGACCUCGGAUUCUGUCUCUGUGGCUGCUGCAGCUCUGCCUGGGGGGCUCUGUGUGGGCGGCUUGGGUCGCAACACCUCUCCUCCUGGAACUGAAGGUGUGUGGGCUCCCUGCUGCUGGGAUUCCUUCCUCUGCUUGCUGGAUGGGCGUAGUGGGCCGAGCCCCUCACAUCACCCCUGGCUCACAAGUGGCAUUGUUCAUGCACCAACGUCUGCCUCACCCUUUGGGUGAAUAAUAUCAAGCUACAGCCUUACUAACGUUGUAGUGGGUAACUCAAUGCCUGAACAGGCUUUCCAAAUCCAACUGUAAGUAUUACUGAUACUUAUCACUACCAAUAUCAAUAAUGUGUGAAUAUGGAAAUUGUGGUGUUGUAUGUCAUGACUUUUAUUAAGUAGUAUGGGAUAUGUAUAACAAUGCACAUAUGUAUGUAUAUGAUAUGUAUAUGUUUGUAUGAGUAUGUGCACACACCUUAACACUAUUAUUGGUAUUAGUAUUAAUCUCCAAGGUAAACCACAGUACAACAGGUUUUUAGUUAUGAAUGUGUUAGCCUAAGGUACAUCCCUGCUUAUUUAUUUUGCUUCGAUUGUUUACUUAACAGAUUUGCUUGGUUUCAGCAGCUGGUUGCACCCCUUAAUAAUAUAUAUUUUAUAUAUACUCCUGUUGUUAAAGCAAAUCUGUCCAUCACAAUAUGGCAUUCAGCAUAAGAUAUGUUGCUUGUUAAACUGCUGGACAGAACGAAAAGAAGAAAAAAAAAAGAAGAAAAAAAAAAUUCUCUGGAGGCUGGAUGUCGACAUUGUGUAGGUGUGUUUUCCGAAGAAACAUACCAGUUGUCAGUUUUACCUAGAAACUGUCAGAACAUGAUUUCUACAUUUCUUCCCUGGAACACCCAUUUGUUUUUCUCCCCGUCUUUCAGUUUACAUACCUGUGUCACUACGUGUUUCAAGAUAGAGUGAUGCCCUUAAGUCUGGUUUCUGGUAAAUAUGGAUUAAAGUCAGUUUCAGUAAUGUAGAUAGCGGAUGGUCAGUCAGUGAAGCUUUUUUAUGAAGCAUAAAAUAUGAUUUCAUAGCAUUAAUUUGAGGUAAUUAUGUUACAUGCAAGGCAAACUGGGACUAGAACUGCACUCGCCAUGAGCGUGGAAACAGGCUGCUAAGGCCUACAAACAAAACCAGAGCGGAGGACCCAAAUGCACAACCCAUAGACAGAACUGACAAUCAACUGUUUAAUAGAUGAACAAAUAAACACAAAGAGAAAUACGAACUAAGGGGGCUG